UGGGGAAUAUUGGACAAUGGACCAAAAGUCUGAUCCAGCAAUUCUGUGUGCACGAUGACGUUUUUCGGAAUGUAAAGUGCUUUCAGUUGGGAAGAAAAGAAUGACGGUACCAACAGAAGAAGUGACGGCUAAAUACGUGCCAGCAGCCGCGGUAAUACGUAUGUCACAAGCGUUAUCCGGAUUUAUUGGGCGUAAAGCGCGUCUAGGUGGUUAUGUAAGUCUGAUGUGAAAAUGCAGGGCUCAACUCUGUAUUGCGUUGGAAACUGCAUGACUAGAGUACUGGAGAGGUAAGCGGAACUACAAGUGUAGAGGUGAAAUUCGUAGAUAUUUGUAGGAAUGCCGAUGGGGAAGCCAGCUUACUGGACAGAUACUGACGCUAAAGCGCGAAAGCGUGGGUAGCAAACAGGAUUAGAUACCCUGGUAGUCCACGCCGUAAACGAUGAUUACUAGGUGUUGGGGGUCGAACCUCAGCGCCCAAGCUAACGCGAUAAGUAAUCCGCCUGGGGAGUACGUACGCAGGUAUG
This 524-nucleotide ribosomal RNA is filed under the name uncultured bacterium. Its description in RNAcentral is "bacterial SSU rRNA". It matches the Rfam family "Bacterial small subunit ribosomal RNA", at positions 355 to 896 of the family's 1533-position model. The record is from RNAcentral.